CCUACGGGUGGCAGCAGUGGGGAAUAUUGGACAAUGGGCGAAAGCCUGAUCCAGCCAUGCCGCGUGUGUGAAGAAGGCCUUCGGGUUGUAAAGCACUUUCAGUGGGGAAGAAAGCCUUGGGGCUAAUACCCUCGAGGAAGGACAUCACCCACAGAAGAAGCACCGGCUAACUCCGUGCCAGCAGCCGCGGUAAUACGGAGGGUGCGAGCGUUAAUCGGAAUUACUGGGCGUAAAGCGCGCGUAGGCGGUCUGAUAAGCCGGUUGUGAAGGCCCCGGGCUCAACCUGGGAACGGCAUCCGGAACUGUCAGGCUAGAGUGCAGGAGAGGAAGGUAGAAUUCCCGGUGUAGCGGUGAAAUGCGUAGAGAUCGGGAGGAAUACCAGUGGCGAAGGCGGCCUUCUGGACUGACACUGACGCUGAGGUGCGAAAGCGUGGGUAGCAAACAGGAUUAGAUACCCUAGUAGUC
This 465-nucleotide ribosomal RNA is filed under the name Vreelandella stevensii. Its description in RNAcentral is "partial 16S ribosomal RNA". It matches the Rfam family "Bacterial small subunit ribosomal RNA", at positions 338 to 795 of the family's 1533-position model. Lineage: Bacteria; Pseudomonadati; Pseudomonadota; Gammaproteobacteria; Oceanospirillales; Halomonadaceae. The record is from RNAcentral.